CAGUGAAAAGCCAAAUUUAGAGGCAUUUAACUGUUAAUUAAAUAAUUGAAUUUUUAUUCUUCACUGGCCA
This 70-nucleotide transfer RNA is filed under the name Macrotritopus defilippi. RNAcentral's name for it is "tRNA-Asn". Lineage: Eukaryota; Metazoa; Mollusca; Cephalopoda; Octopoda; Octopodidae. The record is from RNAcentral.